This 423-nucleotide ribosomal RNA is filed under the name uncultured bacterium. RNAcentral's name for it is "bacterial SSU rRNA". It matches the Rfam family "Bacterial small subunit ribosomal RNA", at positions 359 to 774 of the family's 1533-position model. The record is from RNAcentral.
GAAUAUUGGACAAUGGGCGAAAGCCUGAUCCAGCCAUGCCGCGUGUGUGAAGAAGGUCUUCGGCUCGUAAAGCCCUUAAAGGUGGGAGGAAGGGUUGUAGAUUAAUACUCUGCAAUUUUGACGUUACCGACAGAAUAAGCACCGGCUCACUCUGUGCCAGCCGCCGCGGGAAUACAGAGGGUGCAAGCGUUAAUCGGAAUUACUGGGCGUAAAGCGCGCGUAGGUGGUUUGUUAAGUUGGAUGUGAAAUCCCCGGGCUCAACCUGGGAACUGCAUCCAAAACUGGCAAGCUAGAGUAUGGUAGAGGGUGGUGGAAUUUCCUGUGUAGCGGUGAAAUGCGUAGAUAUAGGAAGGAACACCAGUGGCGAAGGCGACCACCUGGACUGAUACUGACACUGAGGUGCGAAAGCGUGGGGAGCAAACA